GAUGAACGCUGGCGGCGUGCAUAACACAUUCAAGUCGAACGGACUUAAUUGCUUCGGUAAUUAAGUUAGUGGCGGACGGGUGAGUAACGCGUGAGUAACCUGCCUAUAUGAGUGGAGUAACACAGGGAAACUUAUGCUAAUACCGGAUAUUAUGGUUUUUUCGCAUGGAGGAAUCAUGAAAGCUAGAUGCGCUAAGAGAGAGCUUUGCGUCCCAUUAGCUAGUUGGUGAGGUAACGGCCCACCAAGGCAAUGAUGGGUAGCCGGCCUGAGAGGGUGAACGGCCACAAGGGGACUGAGACACGGCCCUU
This 308-nucleotide ribosomal RNA is filed under the name uncultured bacterium. RNAcentral's name for it is "bacterial SSU rRNA". It matches the Rfam family "Bacterial small subunit ribosomal RNA", at positions 28 to 334 of the family's 1533-position model. The record is from RNAcentral.